AGUGAAUUUGUAGGGCCUGCCAUACGGAUGCGCAAGCAGUCAUCAGGCGGAGGACCCACUAUACAUCCACAACCGGUGAGCACUUGUGUUGCUUUGGCCUGUAUGGGCGAGCGCACGCAUUCAAACAAACUCGUAUGGUUGUAUGUACGUUGUAAACGUUGGACCGUCACUGGCCAACAAACUUUAUACAACUUUCGACAACGGAUCUCUUGGUUCUCCCAUCGAUGAAGAACGCAGCGAAACGCGAUAGGUAAUGUGAAUUGCAGAAUUCCGUGAAUCAUCGAAUCUUUGAACGCACCUUGCGCUCCAUGGUAUUCCGUGGAGCAUGCCUGUUUGAGUGCCGCGAAUUCUCCCACCCCAAACGGUUGCCGAAAGGUACUGUGCGGCGGAGGGGUUGGAUGGGUGCUACUGCCUGUGGUGGGGAAACUACAACAGGCUCGCCCGAAAUGCAUUAGCGCCUCAGGACACAUUCGCUACUGCUCUACAAAAGGAAGAGCAGCGAAGCGUAUGGGGGGGAAAACCACCACCGGUUAUUCCAAACCUCGCCUGACUGUUUUUGCGCGCAUGGCAUGAUACGUCAUUUGCUGUGUUGCGUAGGGGGGUGCGUGAGAAAGUGGGAGUGCCUCUGGAGCUUUGGCGGGGGAGCACAAUAAUAAGCGGAGGAAAAGGUGCCAAGCUGCGGAGCAUCUCAACUCGCUUUCAAUUCUGGUCUC
Molecule: ribosomal RNA, 713 nt
Filed under: Malassezia pachydermatis
Lineage: Eukaryota; Fungi; Basidiomycota; Malasseziomycetes; Malasseziales; Malasseziaceae
Description: eukaryotic LSU rRNA
Rfam family: 5.8S ribosomal RNA (bases 190-343)
Source: RNAcentral